GUGUGUGAUGAAACAGUUAUGUCGAUAGCUGAUGGACUUCCAAGGAGAGCCAAUAGUGGAGGUUGCACCAUAAUAAUCAGCAAGGUAUUUUUCGGCAUGAGCCGAAGUGGAAAUUCUUAGAAUGGUUUAUUCUAAGUGGCGAUACUCUUUAUGGUAGAGUAUGACAGGUGUUCAGCAAUGUGGAGUAAGGCGGAUAGCUGCUGCUAUGAUCAUUUUUAAUCAAGGUGGAGUUUGUUGGGAUUUUGCUUAAAAAUGAGAAGGGUCAUUAUCCUACAUUGGAAAAAUGUUGAAGAGUAGCUUGGAUGCUUGCCUAUA
This 315-nucleotide long non-coding RNA is filed under the name Nicotiana benthamiana. RNAcentral's name for it is "long non-coding RNA (NBEN_LNC005115)". Lineage: Eukaryota; Viridiplantae; Streptophyta; Magnoliopsida; Solanales; Solanaceae. The record is from RNAcentral.